This 29-nucleotide non-coding RNA is filed under the name Rattus norvegicus (Norway rat). Lineage: Eukaryota; Metazoa; Chordata; Mammalia; Rodentia; Muridae. The record is from RNAcentral.
UAGUGGUUUUCCAUUUGGGUGACGGUGUA